GCUGGGCGUGGUGGCUCACGCCUGUAAUCCCAGCGGCUGGGGAGGCUGAGACAGGAUGAUCGCGGGUUCAGACCCUGUCUCUA
Molecule: small RNA, 83 nt
Filed under: Marmota monax (woodchuck)
Lineage: Eukaryota; Metazoa; Chordata; Mammalia; Rodentia; Sciuridae
Source: RNAcentral